UUUAUACNUGCACCUCGAACGAAGUAGCAAUACUUAGUGGCAAACGGGUGAGUAUAAUGUANGUAUCUGCCUUUUGGUUUGGAAUAACACGAGGAAACUUGUGCUAAUACCGGAUAAGCCUUUACAGGGAAAGUUUUAACGCCGAAAGAUGAGCCUGCACUUGAUUAGCUAGUUGGUAGGGUAAUGGCCUACCAAGGCAACGAUCAAUAGCUGAUCUGAGAGGAUGAUCAGCCACAUUGGGACUGAGACACGGCCCAGACUCCUACGGGAGGCAGCAGUGGGGAAUCUUGCACAAUGGGGGAAACCCUGAUGCAGCGAUGCCGCGUGAGUGAAGAAGGCCUUUGGGUUGUAAAGCUCUUUCGUCGGGGAAGAAAAUGACUGUACCCGAAUAAGAAGGUCCGGCUAACUUCGUGCCAGCAGCCGCGGUAAUACGAAGGGACCUAGCGUAGUUCGGAAUUACUGGGCUUAAAGAGCUCGUAGGUGGUUAAGAAAAGUUGGUGGUGAAAUCCCAAGGCUUAACCUUGGAACUGCCUCAAAACUUUUUAACU
RNAcentral lists this ribosomal RNA (548 nucleotides) under uncultured alpha proteobacterium NAC60-19. RNAcentral's name for it is "bacterial SSU rRNA". It matches the Rfam family "Bacterial small subunit ribosomal RNA", at positions 48 to 642 of the family's 1533-position model. Lineage: Bacteria; Pseudomonadati; Pseudomonadota; Alphaproteobacteria; Candidatus Pelagibacterales. The record is from RNAcentral.